Molecule: ribosomal RNA, 1356 nt
Filed under: human gut metagenome
Description: bacterial LSU rRNA
Rfam family: Bacterial large subunit ribosomal RNA
Source: RNAcentral
AAAGAGUGCGUAACAGCUCACUAGUCGAGAGGUCUUGCGCCGAAAAUGUCCGGGGCUAAAACACACCACCGAAGCUACGGAAUUACCUAUGGUAAUUGGUAGAGGAGCAUUCUGUAAGGACGAAGCACAAUUGAAAGAGAGUGUGGACGAAACAGAAGAGAGAAUGCCGGAAUGAGUAGCGAGAUAUAUGUGAGAAUCAUAUAGGUCGAAUGUCUAAGGUUUCCUGGGUAAAGCUGAUCUGCUCAGGGUAAGUCGGGACCUAAGGUGAGGGCGAGAGCCGUAAUCGAUGGACAACAGGUAGAAAUUCCUGUACUACGUAUAAUCAGAACUGUGGGGACGCAGGAGGAUAGGAAAACCGGAGAAUGGAAAAAUCCGGCUAAGUACAAAGGUGUGAGUGAUAGGCAAAUCCGUCACUAUUAGCUGAAGUACGAAUGGGAGCGAAGAAAAGUAGCGAAGUUUCUGAAUCCACACUGUCAAGAAAAGCCGCUAUUGCGUUAUACGUACCCGUACCGCAAACCGACACAGGUAGACGAGGAGAAAAUCCACAGACCGACGGGAGAAGUGUUGUUAAGGAACUCGGCAAAAUGACCCCGUAACUUAGGGAUAAGGGGAGCCAACGCAAGUUGGUCACAGAAAAGAGGCUCAAGCGACUGUUUAGCAAAAACAUAGGUCUAUGCGAAACCGUAAGGUGAUGUAUAUGGGCUGACACCUGCCCGGUGCUGGAAGGUCAAAAGGAGAGGUUAGCGUAAGCGAAGCUUUGAAUUCAAGCCCCAGUAAACGGCGGCCGUAACUAUAACGGUCCUAAGGUAGCGAAAUUCCUUGUCAGGUAAGUUCUGACCCGCACGAAAGGUGUAACGAUUUGAGCACUGUCUCGACAACACGCCCGGUGAAAUUGAAGAACCAGUGAAGAUACUGGUUACCCGCAACAGGACGGAAAGACCCCAUGGAGCUUUACUGCAGCUUAAUAUUGGGAUUCGGUAUUGUAUGUACAGGAUAGGAGGGAGACUAAGAAGCUAGCACGCCAGUGUUGGUGGAGUCGAUGGUGGGAUACCUCUCUUAUAAUACUGAAUUUCUAACCUACUUCCGUGAUCCGGAAGAGGGACAUUGUUAGGCGGGCAGUUUGACUGGGGCGGUCGCCUCCGAAAGAGUAACGGAGGCGCUCAAAGGUCUUCUCAGAAUGAUUGGAAACCAUUCAAAGAGUGUAAAGGCAAAAGAAGGCUUGACUGCGAGAGUGACAACUCGAGCAGGUACGAAAGUAGGACUUAGUGAUCCGGUGGUAACAAGUGGGAGUGCCAUCGCUUAACGGAUAAAAGCUACCCUGGGGAUAACAGGCUUAUCUCCCCCAAGAGUUCACAU